AGGGGAAUAUUGGACAAUGGGCGCAAGCCUGAUCCAGCCAUGCCGCGUGAGUGAUGAAGGCCCUAGGGUUGUAAAGCUCUUUCACCGGUGAAGAUAAUGACGGUAACCGGAGAAGAAGCGCCGGCUAACUUCGUGCCAGCAGCCGCGGUAAUACGAAGGGGGCUAGCGUUGUUCGGAUUUACUGGGCGUAAAGCGCACGUAGGCGGACUUUUAAGUCAGGGGUGAAAUCCCGGGGCUCAACCCCGGAACUGCCUUUGAUACUUGAAGUCUUGAGUAUGGUAGAGGUGAGUGGAAUUCCGAGUGUAGAGGUGAAAUUCGUAGAUAUUCGGAGGAACACCAGUGGCGAAGGCGGCUCACUGGACCAUUACUGACGCUGAGGUGCGAAAGCGUGGGGAGCAAACAGG
Molecule: ribosomal RNA, 404 nt
Filed under: Actinomycetes bacterium
Lineage: Bacteria; Bacillati; Actinomycetota; Actinomycetes
Description: Actinobacteria bacterium partial 16S ribosomal RNA
Rfam family: Bacterial small subunit ribosomal RNA
Source: RNAcentral